Molecule: small nuclear RNA, 104 nt
Filed under: Salvator merianae (Argentine black and white tegu)
Lineage: Eukaryota; Metazoa; Chordata; Lepidosauria; Squamata; Teiidae
Source: RNAcentral
GUGCUUGCUUUGGCAAUACAUAUACUAAAACUGAAACUAUAUAGAGAGGAUUGGCAUGGUUCCUGUGCAAGAAUGACACAAAUUUAUGAAGGUUCCAUAUUUUU